AUAAGCAUGCAAGUCGGGGGUGCCAGCAAUGGCAACCGGCGUAAGGGGCAGUUAAGGCAUGGGUUACCUACCUCGGGGUUCGGGAUAGCCAUCAGAGAUGGUGGGUAAUACCGGAUGACCUCGCGAGAGCAAAGAUUUAUCGCCCUGAGAGGGGCCCAUGUGAUAUUAGCUAGUUGGCGGGGUAAUGGCCCACCAAGGCUUAGAUGUCUAGCGGGUGUGAGAGCACGACCCGCGCCACUCGCACUGAGACACUGGCGAGACACCUACGGGUGGCUGCAGUCGAGGAUCUUCGGCAAUGGGGGCAACCCUGACCGAGCGACGCCGCGUGUGCGACGAAGGCCUUCGGGUUGUAAAGCACUGUCGAGGGGGAGAAAGGCCGAAAGGCGUGAUCUAUCCCUGGAGGAAGCUCGGGCUAAGUUCGUGCCAGCAGCCGCGGUAAGACGAACCGAGCGAACGUUGUUCGGAAUAACUGGGCUUAAAGGGCGCGUAGGCGGGCCGCCAAGUUCGAGGUGAAAUCCUCCGGCUCAACCGGAGAACUGCCUCGAAUACUGGAGGCCUCGAGGCGGGUAGGGGCAUGCGGAACUGUGGGUGGAGCGGUGAAAUGCGUUGAUAUCCACAGGAACUCCGGUGGCGAAGGCGGCAUGCUGGACCCGAUCUGACGCUGAGGCGCGAAAGCCAGGGGAGCAAACGGGAUUAGAUACCCCGGUAGUCCUGGCCCUAAACGAUGGGUACUAGGUAGUAGACUUGACAUG
Molecule: ribosomal RNA, 752 nt
Filed under: uncultured bacterium
Lineage: Bacteria
Description: bacterial SSU rRNA
Rfam family: Bacterial small subunit ribosomal RNA
Source: RNAcentral